Molecule: ribosomal RNA, 511 nt
Filed under: Rhithrodytes sexguttatus
Lineage: Eukaryota; Metazoa; Arthropoda; Insecta; Coleoptera; Dytiscidae
Description: partial 16S ribosomal RNA
Rfam family: Bacterial large subunit ribosomal RNA (bases 385-511)
Source: RNAcentral
GUCCUUUAGAGAUAAUUAAAGGUUUAACCUGCCCACUGAGAAAUUUUAAAUGGCCGCAGUAAAUUGACUGUGCAAAGGUAGCAUAAUCAAUAGUUUUUUAAUUGAAAGCUUGUAUGAAUGGUUGGACGAGAUAAAAUCUGUCUUUAUUUAAUAGAUAAAAUUUAAUAUUUAAGUUAAAAAGCUUAAAUAAAAUUAAAAGACGAGAAGACCCUAUAGAUCUUUAUAAUAAAUUAAUUAUUUAUAUUAAAGAUUAGUUUAUAUUUUAUUUAUGUUAUUAUUAUAUUGGGGUAAUAGAGAGAUUUAACAAAUUCUUUUUAAAAAUUGACAAUAAUUUUUGAUUUAUUGAUCCAUUAAUUAGUGAUUAAAAGAUUAAGUUACCUUAGGGAUAACAGCGUAAUUUUUUUAGAGAGUUCAUAUCGAUAAAAAAGUUUGCGACCUCGAUGUUGGAUUAAAAAUUAUUCUAGGUGUAGUAGUUUAGAAUUUUGGUCUGUUCGACCAUUAAAUUUUUACA